GAUGAACGCUGGCGGCGUGCCUAAUACAUGCAAGUCGAGCGAACGGACGAGAAGCUUGCUUCUCUGAUGUUAGCGGCGGACGGGUGAGUAACACGUGGAUAACCUACCUAUAAGACUGGGAUAACUUCGGGAAACCGUAGCUAAUACCGGAUAAUAUUUUGAACCGCAUGGUUCAAAAGUGAAAGACGGUCUUGCUGUCACUUAUAGAUGGAUCCGCGCUGCAUUAGCUAGUUGGUAAGGUAACGGCUUACCAAGGCAACGAUGCAUAGCCGACCUGAGAGGGUGAUCGGCCACACUGGAACUGAGACACGGUCCAGACUCCUACGGGAGGCAGCAGUAGGGAAUCUUCCGCAAUGGGCGAAAGCCUGACGGAGCAACGCCGCGUGAGUGAUGAAGGUCUUCGGAUCGUAAAACUCUGUUAUUAGGGAAGAACAUAUGUGUAAGUAGCUGUGCACAUCUUGACGGUACCUAAUCAGAAAGCCACGGCUAACUACGUG
Molecule: ribosomal RNA, 497 nt
Filed under: uncultured bacterium
Lineage: Bacteria
Description: partial 16S ribosomal RNA
Rfam family: Bacterial small subunit ribosomal RNA
Source: RNAcentral